Molecule: ribosomal RNA, 497 nt
Filed under: uncultured bacterium
Lineage: Bacteria
Description: partial 16S ribosomal RNA
Rfam family: Bacterial small subunit ribosomal RNA
Source: RNAcentral
GACGAACGCUGGCGGCGUGCCUAAUACAUGCAAGUAGAACGCUGAAGAGAGGAGCUUGCUCUUCUUGGAUGAGUUGCGAACGGGUGAGUAACGCGUAGGUAACCUGCCUGGUAGCGGGGGAUAACUAUUGGAAACGAUAGCUAAUACCGCAUAACAACAGUUGUUGCAUGACAGCUGUUUAAAAGAUGCAAUUGCAUCACUACCAGAUGGACCUGCGUUGUAUUAGCUAGUUGGUGAGGUAACGGCUCACCAAGGCGACGAUACAUAGCCGACCUGAGAGGGUGAUCGGCCACACUGGGACUGAGACACGGCCCAGACGCCUACGGGAGGCAGCAGUAGGGAAUCUUCGGCAAUGGGGGGAACCCUGACCGAGCAACGCCGCGGGAGGGAAGAAGGGUUUCGGAUCGUAAAGCUCUGUUGUAAGAGAAGAACGGGUGUGAGAGUGGAAAGUUCACACUGUGACGGUAUCUUACCAGAAAGGGACGGCUAACUACGUG